This 328-nucleotide unclassified non-coding RNA is filed under the name soil metagenome. Its description in RNAcentral is "partial contains 5.8S ribosomal RNA, internal transcribed spacer 2, and large subunit ribosomal RNA". The stretch from base 1 to 120 matches the Rfam family "5.8S ribosomal RNA", at positions 35 to 154 of the family's 154-position model. The record is from RNAcentral.
GAUGAAGAACGUAGUGAAAUGCGAUAAGUGAUGUGAAUUGCAGAAUUCAGUGAAUCAUCGAAUCUUUGAACGCACAUUGCGCCCCUUGGUAUUCCGAGGGGCAUGCCCGUUCGAGCGUCAUUAUACCCCUCAAGCCUAGCUUGGUGUUGGGGCCUGCUGUUACCGGCAGCCCUUAAAAUCAGUGGCGGUGCCAUCUGGCUCUAAGCGUAGUAAUACUUCUCGCUACAGGGUCCCGGUGGAUGCUUGCCAUCAACCCCUAAUUUUCUAUGGUUGACCUCGGAUCGGGUAGGGAUACCCGCUGAACUUAAGCAUAUCAAUAAGCGGAGGA